RNA transcript from Nicotiana tabacum (common tobacco), 1507 nucleotides. It is a transcript of the gene named chloride conductance regulatory protein ICln, with no coding region annotated. The record is from RefSeq and is a predicted model, not a curated record. Lineage: Eukaryota; Viridiplantae; Streptophyta; Magnoliopsida; Solanales; Solanaceae.
UUAUAGCGGUGCAAAAUGUUGUCGAAAAUAAUUUUGGCGCCCAACCAAAACCCUAGAGCAGCAGUCUAGCAGAGCCUUUACCAGUCUCCAAUUCCUUUUCUGCCGGAGCUAAGUAAACAUCAAUUAAAUGGAAAAUAUGUCAGGCUUGAGGUUCUUCGUUGAAAGAACCGGUGACGGCGCCGGGCAGCCGGUCCUCGACGCCGACAACGGCGAGGAACUCAUGCACGUUCAGCCUGGAACCGCCAUCGUCCUCGGCAGCCGCCAGCCUGAGUCCCCUGGCACUCUCUACAUCACCACUAAGCAAGUGGUGUGGCUAAGCGAUACAGAUAGGAGUAAAGGUUAUGCAGUUGAUUUCUUGUCGGUUUCACUGCAUGCUGUGUCUAGGGACCCCGAGGCGUAUCAGGAUCCUUGUUUAUACGCUCAGAUUGACAAUGGAUUGGAGGAUGAUGAAUCAGAAGGCUCCACUGAUGGGGGUGAUGAGUCAUCAGAUUUAUCAAGGAUCACGGAGUUGAGACUUGUGCCAUCGGAUCCUGAUCAAUUGGAUACUCUCUUCCAGAUCUUUUGUGAAUGUGCUGAGCUUAAUCCUGAACCAAUUGAAGGGGAGGAAGAAGAGCAUAAUUGGAUCUUCAGUGCAGAUCAGCUGGAAAAUCAGGAAGCUGAGGAAGAAUCUGAAUGGACGUUUUCUCAGAAUCUGACACAUUCUAUUGGUCAUUCAAAUGGAGAUCACGACUUAGCUCAUACUGUGCUUCAGGUUGUUGGGUUUGGGUGGCAUGGGAGAUGAACAAAUUAAAUACUUAGUUUCUAGAGUGACAGGCAGAGUCUCGCUAUAUAUUUGGCAGGCACUGUCAAGGGAGCUCCUCUUGGCUGAUUGUCUCAACUUCAAAUUAAUGAUCAAAGGUUUGAAGAUGCAGAGGAAAUGGAUAGCGACAGCAAAAAUGGUCAUCACUAAGGCGUCACCAUUCUGAAUCAGAUUAUUUUCUUGAUCUUGGGUAUCAUUAUCUCACAACGAACUUUUGAUGUAUACUAAGUGUGUCAACCUGGUCCUGUUUCUCACAUUUCCGAUGUUCUUGCGGAAAUGUUGAUUCAAAUUUUUAGAUCUUUUGCCCAAAAAGAUUACAUGAUAUUCAGGAAUUAAUAGUUAUUGCAUAUCAGAACCUGUGAGUAGUGCGAGCCAAGACCACAUAGCUUAAGUUGAAGGCAGUUUUUGUUGGGUUUUUCCCUGUCUUGUGCCCUUCGUUCGAAUUUUUAGCUCAGUUAUGGUGAUGACCUUAAAACUUCCAGGGAUAUCUGUGUGUACACUUCAAUCUAGUUACUCAUUAUCUCGCCCAAAUAAGCAGGGUAAAUGGAAAGCACAACUUUCUGGCCCUCUAGCUCUCCCUCUUCAAGUGCCUGACAUUGUUACACUCAAGAUUCUCUCAAGUUCUUCCGGUUGUUUCGUGUUUGAGCUUCAAAAAAUGUACACGUUGAAAAUUAUUCCUCAUCAAUAAAAUACAUGAACCUUUAAGAA